ACUCCUACGGGAGGCAGCAGUCGAGAAUCUUCCGCAAUGGACGAAAGUCUGACGGAGCGACGCCGCGUGGAGGACGAAGGCCUUCGGGUUGUAAACUCCUGUCACGAGUUAAGAAGUGUAUGCCAUUAAUACCGGCAUGCAUUGACGAAGGCUCGAGAGGAAGCACUGGCUAACUCUGUGCCAGCAGCCGCGGUAAUACAGAGAGUGCGAACGUUGUUCGGAAUUACUGGGCUUAAAGCGUACGUAGGCGGCGUAACAAGUGUCGGGUGAAAGCCCACGGCUCACCCGUGGAAUUGCCUGGCAAACUGUUAUGCUAGAGUGUGGUAGGGAGAACAGAACUCAUGGUGGAGCGGUGAAAUGCGUAGAUAUCAUGAGGAAUACCGGUGGCGAAGGCGGUUCUCUGGUCCACAACUGACGCUGAGGUACGAAAGCUAGGGUAGCGAACGGGAUUAGAUACCCCUGGUAG
This 466-nucleotide ribosomal RNA is filed under the name uncultured bacterium. RNAcentral describes it as "bacterial SSU rRNA". It matches the Rfam family "Bacterial small subunit ribosomal RNA", at positions 335 to 793 of the family's 1533-position model. The record is from RNAcentral.